RNAcentral lists this transfer RNA (77 nucleotides) under Methylocaldum szegediense. Its description in RNAcentral is "tRNA-Ile". It matches the Rfam family "tRNA". Rfam says of the family: Transfer RNA (tRNA) molecules are approximately 80 nucleotides in length. Their secondary structure includes four short double-helical elements and three loops (D, anti-codon, and T loops). The record is from RNAcentral. Lineage: Bacteria; Pseudomonadati; Pseudomonadota; Gammaproteobacteria; Methylococcales; Methylococcaceae.
GGGCCCUUAGCUCAGUUGGUUAGAGCAGGGGACUCAUAAUCCCUUGGUCCUAGGUUCGAGCCCUAGAGGGCCCACCA